This 305-nucleotide ribosomal RNA is filed under the name uncultured bacterium. RNAcentral describes it as "bacterial SSU rRNA". It matches the Rfam family "Bacterial small subunit ribosomal RNA", at positions 335 to 658 of the family's 1533-position model. The record is from RNAcentral.
GCCCUACGGGAGGCAGCAGUGGGGAAUAUUGCACAAUGGGCGCAAGCCUGAUGCAGCGACGCCGCGUGAGCGAAGAAGUAUUUCGGUAUGUAAAGCUCUAUCAGCAGGGAAGAAAAUGACGGUACCUGACUAAGAAGCUCCGGCUAAAUACGUGCCAGCAGCCGCGGUAAUACGUAGGGGGCAAGCGUUAUCCGGAUUUACUGGGUGUAAAGGGAGCGUAGACGGCAGGGCAAGUCUGGAGUGAAAGCCCGGGGCCCAACCCCGGGACUGCUUUGGAAACUGCCAUGCUGGAGUGCUGGAGAGGG